RNAcentral lists this ribosomal RNA (932 nucleotides) under Pseudoalteromonas sp. YACS31. RNAcentral's name for it is "bacterial SSU rRNA". It matches the Rfam family "Bacterial small subunit ribosomal RNA", at positions 350 to 1280 of the family's 1533-position model. Lineage: Bacteria; Pseudomonadati; Pseudomonadota; Gammaproteobacteria; Alteromonadales; Pseudoalteromonadaceae. The record is from RNAcentral.
UUUGGUGGGGUCGCCAUGGGCGCAGCCUGAUGCAGCCAUGCCGCGUGUGUGAAGAAGGCCUUCGGGUUGUAAAGCACUUUCAGUCAGGAGGAAAGGUUAGUAGUUAAUACCUGCUAGCUGUGACGUUACUGACAGAAGAAGCACCGGCUAACUCCGUGCCAGCAGCCGCGGUAAUACGGAGGGUGCGAGCGUUAAUCGGAAUUACUGGGCGUAAAGCGUACGCAGGCGGUUUGUUAAGCGAGAUGUGAAAGCCCCGGGCUCAACCUGGGAACUGCAUUUCGAACUGGCAAACUAGAGUGUGAUAGAGGGUGGUAGAAUUUCAGGUGUAGCGGUGAAAUGCGUAGAGAUCUGAAGGAAUACCGAUGGCGAAGGCAGCCACCUGGGUCAACACUGACGCUCAUGUACGAAAGCGUGGGGAGCAAACGGGAUUAGAUACCCCGGUAGUCCACGCCGUUUUUUUAUGUCUACUAGAAGCUCGGAGCCUCGGUUCUGUUUUUCAAAGCUAACGCAUUAAGUAGACCGCCUGGGGAGUACGGCCGCAAGGUUAAAACUCAAAUGAAUUGACGGGGGCCCGCACAAGCGGUGGAGCAUGUGGUUUAAUUCGAUGCAACGCGAAGAACCUUACCUACACUUGACAUACAGAGAACUUACCAGAGAUGGUUUGGUGCCUUCGGGAACUCUGAUACAGGUGCUGCAUGGCUGUCGUCAGCUCGUGUUGUGAGAUGUUGGGUUAAGUCCCGCAACGAGCGCAACCCCUAUCCUUAGUUGCUAGCAGGUAAUGCUGAGAACUCUAAGGAGACUGCCGGUGAUAAACCGGAUGUAAGGUGGGGACGACGUCAGUCAUCUUGGCCCUUACGUGUAGGGGCUACACACGUGCUACAAUGGCGCAUACAGAGUGCUGCGAACUCGCGAGAGUAAGCGAAUCACUUAAA